RNAcentral lists this ribosomal RNA (497 nucleotides) under uncultured bacterium. Its description in RNAcentral is "partial 16S ribosomal RNA". It matches the Rfam family "Bacterial small subunit ribosomal RNA", at positions 28 to 507 of the family's 1533-position model. The record is from RNAcentral.
GAUGAACGCUGGCGGCGUGCCUAAUACAUGCAAGUCGAGCGAACGGACGAGAAGCUUGCUUUUCUGAUGUUAGCGGCGGACGGGUGAGUAACACGUGGAUAACCUACCUAUAAGACUGGGAUAACUUCGGGAAACCGGAGCUAAUACCGGAUAAUAUUUUGAACCGCAUGGUUCAAAAGUGAAAGACGGUCUUGCUGUCACUUAUAGAUGGAUCCGCGCUGCAUUAGCUAGUUGGUAAGGUAACGGCUUACCAAGGCAACGAUGCAUAGCCGACCUGAGAGGGUGAACGGCCACACUGGAACUGAGACACGGUCCAGACUCCUACGGGAGGCAGCAGUAGGGAAUCUUCCGCGAUGGGCGAAAGCCUGACGGAGCAACGCCGCGUGAGUGAUGAAGGUCUUCGGAUCGUAAAACUCUGUUAUUAGGGAAGAACAUAUGUGUAAGUAACUGUGCACAUCUUGACGGUACCUAAUCAGAAAGCCACGGCUAACUACGUG